GUGUCAGCCGCCGCGGUAAUACGAACUGUGCGAACGUUAUUCGGAAUCACUGGGCUUAAAGGGUGCGUAGGCGGUUUUCUAAGUCAGGUGUGAAAUCUUCCGGCUCAACCGGAAAACUGCGCCUGAUACUGGAGGACUGGAGUGAGGCAGGGGUGUGUGGAACUUCCGGUGGAGCGGUGAAAUGUGUAGAUAUCGGAAGGAACGCCAGCAGCGAAAGCGGCACACUGGGCCUUUUCUGACGCUGAGGCACGAAAGCCAGGGGAGCGAACGGGAUUAGAUACCCCCGUAGUCC
This 292-nucleotide ribosomal RNA is filed under the name uncultured bacterium. Its description in RNAcentral is "partial 16S ribosomal RNA". It matches the Rfam family "Bacterial small subunit ribosomal RNA", at positions 505 to 796 of the family's 1533-position model. The record is from RNAcentral.